RNAcentral lists this ribosomal RNA (253 nucleotides) under uncultured bacterium. Its description in RNAcentral is "partial 16S ribosomal RNA". It matches the Rfam family "Bacterial small subunit ribosomal RNA", at positions 524 to 776 of the family's 1533-position model. The record is from RNAcentral.
UACGUAGGGGGCAAGCGUUGUCCGGAAUCAUUGGGCGUAAAGAGCGUGUAGGCGGUCCGGUCAGUCGGUUGUGAAAGUCAAGGGCUCAACCCUUGAAUGCCGGCCGAUACUGCCGGGCUAGAGUCCGGAAGAGGUGAGUGGAAUUCCUGGUGUAGCGGUGAAAUGCGCAGAUAUCAGGAGGAACACCGAUGGCGAAGGCCGCUCACUGGGACGGUACUGACGCUGAGACGCGAAAGCGUGGGGAGCAAACAGG